GAUCAACGCUGACAGAAUGCUUAACACAUGCAAGUCGAUGAUGGGAGCUAGCUUGCUAGAAGAAGUCAUGGCGGACGGGUGAGUAAUGUGUAAAGAACUUACCAUAUAGACUGGGAUAACAGAGGGAAACUUCUGAUAAUACUGGAUAAGUUAGUAGUAGCAUUACUAAGUAAUGAAAGGUAGCAAUACGCUAUAUGAGAGCUUUGCAUCCUAUUAGCUAGUUGGUGGGGUAAAAGCCUACCAAGGCGAUGAUAGGUAGCCGGCCUGAGAGGGUGGACAGCCACAAGGGGACUGAGAUACGGCCCUUACUCCUACGGGAGGCAGCAGUGGGGAAUAUUGGACAAUGGAGGCAACUCUGAUCCAGCAAUUCUGUGUGUGUGAAGAAGGUUUUAGGACUGUAAAACACUUUUAGUAGGGAAGAAAGAAAUGACGGUACCUACAGAAGAAGCGACGGCUAAAUACGUG
This 465-nucleotide ribosomal RNA is filed under the name uncultured bacterium. Its description in RNAcentral is "partial 16S ribosomal RNA". It matches the Rfam family "Bacterial small subunit ribosomal RNA", at positions 28 to 507 of the family's 1533-position model. The record is from RNAcentral.